GUACACUUAUUAAACACAUUUAAUUUUCUACAAUCUGGGACAGAUCAUCUACCUUUUACUGGUGUGUGUUUGUUUCUUGAAUAUAGGCAAGGAUAGGUAAGGCAUGUUUUUGGUAGCAUGAAUUUAAAUUUAAGUUCCUCUGAUGUAUUCUAGGUACCAGACUGAGGUUGUACAAUUUUAACAGGGAUCCAUGGAAAUGAUUGACUUUUGGCAGUGCUUCGACCCAUGACAGCAUGUGAGAUUGACAUGUCUUUCCACUAACAAUCCUUACCUUGAUUAAAUCAAAGAUCUGUGCUGCUUUCAGUCUUCUGGCAAUGCACAGUGUUUGACUCAUAACUCUUCAAGUUUUCGAGAAGAAGUGACUAUGGCUGUUCAUUCUUAAAUGGGACAUAUUGAAAGACCUCAGAAGAGGUACUUUCGUAGAAGGAGAACCGCACCCAGGAAUCAGCGAGACUACGAACUUGGAUGCAAAAGCAAAAGGCUUUAUUGAAAACACGGGCUCAGGGAACACUACAGAAGAGGUGGCAGAGUUUAAGAGUGGGAAUAAGGAAGAAUGCUAUGAAGUUCCAUCUUCUGAAUAUGGAAAAUGGAUGGAACUGGAGAUCAUGAUUGAUUAGGACAACAUGAUUGAU
RNAcentral lists this long non-coding RNA (632 nucleotides) under Cricetulus griseus (Chinese hamster). RNAcentral describes it as "lncRNA (ENSCGRG00015039826.1)". The record is from RNAcentral. Lineage: Eukaryota; Metazoa; Chordata; Mammalia; Rodentia; Cricetidae.